Non-coding RNA from Brachypodium distachyon (stiff brome), 125 nucleotides. The record is from Rfam. Lineage: Eukaryota; Viridiplantae; Streptophyta; Magnoliopsida; Poales; Poaceae.
AGUAUACUCUCUCCGUCCCAUAUUAAGUGAAUCAAAAUUUUUCAAAUAUGGAUGUAUCUAUAUGCAAAAAACGUUUAGAUACAUGUAAUAUUUCGAUACUUAAUAUGGGACGGAAGGAGUAUAUA